CAAGUUUUAGCUGUUUAUUUAUUUAUGAAUUGUUGAUUUAUUUGCUUGUUUAUUUAUUUAAUGUUUUGUUGAAUGAACUAAGAUUGGGAUAAUAAUUAAAAGAAGUAUAGAAUGAACAGUGCCCAUGAACUUGUGCUAGAAGAAGUUUUUGCAAUGGAGUAGCUAAUGUGAUUUGAAGGUCGUUUUCUGAUAGGAAAUGGACUGACGAAUAAAGAAAUAUGCGCAACAAGAAAUGGAAGGAGGGGAAAAAAGGGGAUAGGAGAACUAGCUUGUUUAGUUUUAAUUGGGUGCAAUUUUAGUAGAUAAAUAAGAUUGAAGAGAAGUGAAGUUGAAUGUGAAUUGUUGGCCCAAAGUAGAAAUUGUAUAUUCUAAAGAAUGAGCAAUUAAAGUUAAAUUGCUGUUCUUAGUAACUAGCUUUUCCAGAUUGCAACUAACGGGUGCUAAUGAUGACAAUUUUGAUUUUAAAGGAAAUGAGAUAUAAUUGGCCACAUCAGUCUAUUGGGUUUUAUUGUCCAGCUAAGUUCCUUUGCAUUCCAUAGACAUUUAAGUCAUUGGUUGGGUAUAUCCAAUGACAUCGGCACACUUUUUAUUCAAUUUUCUUUUAGUGUUUGCUCAAGUGAGUUACUAUUCAAUGCAAUUAAUGAUCUGAAGUUCGCUACUACUUUAUUGGAACCAUGGUCAAAUUGUAGUGUGGGCGUGACAUGUAUCAAUGAUUAUUUUAUCCU
Molecule: unclassified non-coding RNA, 725 nt
Filed under: Hevea brasiliensis (rubber tree)
Lineage: Eukaryota; Viridiplantae; Streptophyta; Magnoliopsida; Malpighiales; Euphorbiaceae
Source: RNAcentral